AUGCAGUCGAACGCUUUGUGGUUCAACUGAUUUGAAGAGCUUGCUCAGAUAUGACGAUGGACAUUGCAAAGAGUGGCGAACGGGUGAGUAACACGUGGGAAACCUACCUCUUAGCAGGGGAUAACAUUUGGAAACAGAUGCUAAUACCGUAUAACAAUAGCAACCGCAUGGUUGCUACUUAAAAGAUGGUUCUGCUAUCACUAAGAGAUGGUCCCGCGGUGCAUUAGUUAGUUGGUGAGGUAAUGGCUCACCAAGACGAUGAUGCAUAGCCGAGUUGAGAGACUGAUCGGCCACAAUGGGACUGAGACACGGCCCAUACUCCUACGGGAGGCAGCAGUAGGGAAUCUUCCACAAUGGGCGAAAGCCUGAUGGAGCAACGCCGCGUGUGUGAUGAAGGGUUUCGGCUCGUAAAACACUGUUGUAAGAGAAGAAUGACAUUGAGAGUAACUGUUCAAUGUGUGACGGUAUCUUACCAGAAAGGAACGGCUAAAUACGUGCCAGCAGCCGCGGUAAUACGUAUGUUCCAAGCGUUAUCCGGAUUUAUUGGGCGUAAAGCGAGCGCAGACGGUUAUUUAAGUCUGAAGUGAAAGCCCUCAGCUCAACUGAGGAAUUGCUUUGGAAACUGGAUGACUUGAGUGCAGUAGAGGAAAGUGGAACUCCAUGUGUAGCGGUGAAAUGCGUAGAUAUAUGGAAGAACACCAGUGGCGAAGGCGGCUUUCUGGACUGUAACUGACGUUGAGGCUCGAAAGUGUGGGUAGCAAACAGGAUUAGAUACCCUGGUAGUCCACACCGUAAACGAUGAGUGCUAG
This 809-nucleotide ribosomal RNA is filed under the name Weissella cibaria. RNAcentral's name for it is "bacterial SSU rRNA". It matches the Rfam family "Bacterial small subunit ribosomal RNA", at positions 55 to 819 of the family's 1533-position model. Lineage: Bacteria; Bacillati; Bacillota; Bacilli; Lactobacillales; Lactobacillaceae. The record is from RNAcentral.